CGAAGAUGAUUGCUAGUCUCAAAGCCGAAGAUCAAAGCCAGCUCCAGCUUGUGGAGAGAGAAGAUAUUGAUGACGAAGAAGACUUGUUCGAAGCAAUUGAUAAACUGACCUCUCAAGGAAUCAAUGCUGGAGAUGUAAAGAAGCUUCAAGAUGCAGGGAUAUACACCUGCAAUGGCUUGA
Long non-coding RNA from Pistacia vera, 180 nucleotides. RefSeq lists it as uncharacterized. NCBI's taxonomy places the organism in Eukaryota, Viridiplantae, Streptophyta, Magnoliopsida, Sapindales, Anacardiaceae. The record is from RefSeq and is a predicted model, not a curated record. The transcript is spliced from 3 exons.